This 497-nucleotide ribosomal RNA is filed under the name uncultured bacterium. Its description in RNAcentral is "bacterial SSU rRNA". It matches the Rfam family "Bacterial small subunit ribosomal RNA", at positions 30 to 504 of the family's 1533-position model. The record is from RNAcentral.
CGAACGCUGGCGGCGUGCUUAACACAUGCAAGUCGAACGCGAACGUCUUCUUCGGAAGACAAGUAGAGUGGCGCACGGGUGAGUAACGCGUAGAUAACCUACCCUUAUGUCUGGGAUAACCCACCGAAAGGUGGACUAAUACCGGAUGUGCUUAUUUUUCAUAAGUUAUAUAAGUAAAGGUGGCCUCUGAUUUAAGCUACUGCAUGAGGAGGGGUCUGCGUACCAUUAGCUUGUUGGUGGGGUAAUGGCCUACCAAGGCGACGAUGGUUAGCGGGUCUGAGAGGAUGAUCCGUCACACUGGCACUGAAACACGGGCCAGACUCCUACGGGAGGCAGCAGUGAGGAAUAUUGCGCAAUGGGGGAAACCCUGACGCAGCGACGCCGCGUGAGUGAGGAAGGCCUUCGGGUCGUAAAGCUCUGUCAAGAGGGAAGAAAUGGAUAUUGGUUAAUACCCAUUAUGUUUGACGGUACCUCUAAAGGAAGCACCGGCUAACUCC